This 496-nucleotide ribosomal RNA is filed under the name uncultured bacterium. RNAcentral's name for it is "partial 16S ribosomal RNA". It matches the Rfam family "Bacterial small subunit ribosomal RNA", at positions 29 to 507 of the family's 1533-position model. The record is from RNAcentral.
AUGAACGCUGGCGGCGUGCCUAAUACAUGCCAGUCGCGCGAACAGACGAGGAGCUUGCUCCUCUGACGUUAGCGGCGGACGGGUGAGUAACACGUGGAUAACCUACCUAUAAGACUGGGAUAACUUCGGGAAACCGGAGCUAAUACCGGAUAAUAUAUUGAACCGCCUGGUUCAAUAGUGAAAGACGGUUUUGCUGUCACUUAUAGAUGGAUCCGCGCCGCAUUAGCUAGUUGGUAAGGUAACGGCUUACCAAGGCAACGAUGCGUAGCCGACCUGAGAGGGUGAUCGGCCACACUGGAACUGAGACACGGUCCAGACUCCUACGGGAGGCAGCAGUAGGGAAUCUUCCGCAAUGGGCGAAAGCUUGACGGAGCAACGCCGCGUGAGUGAUGAAGGUCUUCGGAUCGUAAAACUCUGUUAUUAGGGAAGAACAAAUGUGUAAGUAACUAUGCACGUCUUGACGGUACCUAAUCAGAAAGCCACGGCUAACUACGUG